Molecule: transfer RNA, 73 nt
Filed under: Cylindrospermum stagnale PCC 7417
Lineage: Bacteria; Bacillati; Cyanobacteriota; Cyanophyceae; Nostocales; Nostocaceae
Also listed under: 1 other name
Description: tRNA-Glu (TTC) (tRNA-Glu-TTC-3-1)
Rfam family: tRNA
About the family: Transfer RNA (tRNA) molecules are approximately 80 nucleotides in length. Their secondary structure includes four short double-helical elements and three loops (D, anti-codon, and T loops).
Source: Rfam by way of RNAcentral
GGCCCCAUCGUCUAGCGGUCAAGGACAACCAGCUUUCGAUUGGUUAACACGGGUUCGAUUCCCGUUGGGGCUA